Molecule: ribosomal RNA, 104 nt
Filed under: uncultured bacterium
Lineage: Bacteria
Description: partial 16S ribosomal RNA
Rfam family: Bacterial small subunit ribosomal RNA
Source: RNAcentral
UACACACCGCCCGUCACACCACGAAAGCCGAUCGUACCAGAAGUCGCUGACGUUAACCCCGCAAGGGGAGGCAGGCGCCCAAGGUAUAGUUGGUGAUUGGGGUG